CCCGCGCCAGGGCCGUGCCAGGAUCCCACCAGCCAGCGAAACCCGCACCAGGGCCGUGCUGGGGACCCGCCAGCGACACCCGCGCCAGGGCCGUGCCGGGAUGCCGCCAGCCAGCAACACCCGCGCCAGGGCCGUGCCGCGAUCCCACCAGCCAGCGACACCCGCGCCAGGGUCCCGCCAGUGACACCCGCGCCAGGGCCGUGCCAGGAUCCCACCAGCCAGCGAAACCCGCACCAGGGCCGUGCUGGGGACCCGCCAGCGACACCCGCGCCAGGGCCNACCAGGGCCGUGCUGGGGACCCGCCAGCGACACCCGCGCCAGGGCCGUGCCGGGAUGCCGCCAGCCAGCAACACCCGCGCCAGGGCUGUGCUGGGGACCCGCCAGCCAGCGACACAUGCGCCAGGGUCCUGCCAGCAACACCCGCGCCAGGGCUGUGCCAGGGUCCUGCCAGCCAGCGACACCCACACCAGGGCCGUGCCGGGGACCCACCAGCCAGCGACACCAGCGCCAGGGCUGUGCCGGGGUCCCGCCAGCCAGUGACACAUGCGCCAGGGUCCCGCCAGCAACACCCGUGCCAGUGCUGUGCUGGGAGCCUGAUGGAGCCUGGCAGGUGCCCAUGGGGCAAUGAGACCCUCUCCCCCCUUCCCUGUGUGUGCCCUGGACCUUGCCCCUGGGCACGUGGAGAUCUGCCCCUGCCAGGCACCCAGCGACCUGCUGCCCCCACACAGCAACAAGCACAAGGGGCUGCCCUCCAGGACAGCGAGGGGGCACUGGGGGGGGCCCACACUGCACCUGCUGCCUGGCCCCCAAAGCCUGGAUCCAGGGGACCUGCGAAAGGAGACACUGGGAGCGAAAGCCGGGACAGGGACUGUGCUGUGGGUCGGGGAGCCCCCCCCACGUGUGCGGCAUGACCUGCUGCCCCGGCUGGAGCCUGGCCCCCAAAACCCAGAAGUGCACAAAAGCCAUCUGCACCCCGAAGUGCCGCAAUGGGGGGCUGUGCCGGGAGCCCCAAGUCUGCACCUGCCGCCCGGGGUUCGCUGGCCACCGGUGUGAGCAGCUGGUGCCCACCGACCCCACCUCGGGGCUCCCCCCAGCGCCCACCUCCCACCCGGCCAGCGCCUCCACCCUGCACCCCACAGGCCCCAGUGCCAGGAGGGCAGCGUCCGUGAAGUGGCGGCCACUGACGUGAGUGGGGUGAUUGGGGAGGGGCAG
This 1212-nucleotide long non-coding RNA is filed under the name Gopherus agassizii (Agassiz's desert tortoise). RNAcentral describes it as "lncRNA (ENSGAGG00000003762.1)". The record is from RNAcentral. Lineage: Eukaryota; Metazoa; Chordata; Testudines; Testudinidae.